GGCAGGUGAGAAUAUGUUACGCGAUAAGCGAUACGCUGUGGCUUAACGAUUUUCAGAUAGCACGAAUGCCAGCAAUCGUGCAACGUAGGAGUUCAAAGGGAGACAUGGUCAGUGUGGUUGGUAUGUCUUUCGAUGUCCUUAGUUCCUUGGCGAUAAAAAUUUGUUCUCCGGCACUGAGAUAACUUUUUUUGUGUGUUCUCGUUCUGUUCUAGGGUGCAAGCAACGUGUCAUUGUGGUUAGAAAAAAUGAAUCAGUAUACAUGUGAUUUAACUGUCAAAGCCGGAAUGUUUAAAGCAUACAUCCCGCCCAAGGCAUGCUGGGAUGAUCUACUAUCAGGCAGCUUGGAAGCUUCCAGACGCCGAUAUGCCUUACGUUCGGUGCAGCCGAGGUUAUGAACUGUCAAGUGGAAGAUGCCCCUUGAGGAAAACAAUUAGGAUCGACUGUCCAGCGUGGAGAUUGCGGAAUCAGCAGCUGACAUAUUGACUGAUGAAACAUGAUGGUGCGUGCAGCAAGAGAGGGUUUGACUGCAG
Rhipicephalus sanguineus (brown dog tick) is the source of this 530-nucleotide long non-coding RNA. RefSeq lists it as uncharacterized. The record is from RefSeq and is a predicted model, not a curated record. Lineage: Eukaryota; Metazoa; Arthropoda; Arachnida; Ixodida; Ixodidae. The transcript has 3 exons.